This 814-nucleotide long non-coding RNA is filed under the name Sus scrofa (pig). RNAcentral's name for it is "lncRNA (ENSSSCG00065024989.1)". The record is from RNAcentral. Lineage: Eukaryota; Metazoa; Chordata; Mammalia; Artiodactyla; Suidae.
GCCGGGGCGGGGCCGCGCCGGGCGGGCGCGCGGGAGCUGCGGAGGGAGGGUGUCGCGCCGAGGGAAGCGGCCCGCGGCGGAGGGAGGGAAGGCCGAGUCCUGGAAGCGGAGCUCCGCGCUGGGACUGGUUCCUUCGCAGCCAUUUUCUGUCCAACCAAACAGCCGAUUGGAGACGGGAGCCAACCAGGGCUGCAUUGGAGAUGGACGGUGACAGUUCUACAACAGAUGCUUCUCAACUCGGAAUUUCUGCAGACUAUAUUGGAGGAAGUCAUUAUGUCAUACAGCCUCAUGAUGGUAAGAAAGCCACAAUUAAAACAGAUUCACAAGUAGGAACAAAUUAGACCAAGUGGACAUUUUAUUCAUGUGAUGUUCUAGGUUGCUUUUGUCUUUAUAGGAAAAGUAAUAAUCUUGUAUCACAGUAAAAAAUAUACUUUGCUAUUUUUAUUAGAAGUUGUCUUUAAAAGAAUGAUGGGUUCUAGAGAAGACGUCUAUAAAAGUAUGCCUUUUUAAAGCUGGUAUAAUUUCUUGAAAAGUUUAUUACUGAUUUCCUAUCUAGCUGUUAAUUAUGGCAGAUUCUUAAAUCAAUUGAUAUAGUAAGUUGAGUAGUUCUUUAGAGGGUGGGUUGCUGGCUAUUGUAGUUCUAGCACUUAUAAACAGACUUAUUUUGGGUUUUUAUUAAGUUUGAAUCAUGUCAAGUAUUAGAAUGGCAGUGUUAUGUUGGCCUAUCAGAAAUAAUUUGCUUUUGUGCCAUUCUGAUGUGUAAGAUUAAAAAACUCUAAGAUAGGGGUUCCCGCCGUGGCUCAGUGGCUAAUGA